Molecule: ribosomal RNA, 430 nt
Filed under: uncultured bacterium
Lineage: Bacteria
Description: bacterial SSU rRNA
Rfam family: Bacterial small subunit ribosomal RNA
Source: RNAcentral
AACGAACGCUGGCGGCAGGCUUAACACAUGCAAGUCGAACGCCCCGCAAGGGGAGUGGCAGACGGGUGAGUAACACGUGGGAACAUGCCCAAAGGUACGGAAUAUUCUCGGGAAACUGGGAGCAAUACCGUAUGUGCCCCGAAAGGGGAAGAUUUAUCGCCUUUGGAUUGGCCCGCGUUGGAUUAGCUAGUUGGUGGGGUAAAAGCCUACCAAGGCGACGAUCCAUAGCUGGUCUGAGAGGACGACCAGCCACACUGGGACUGAGACACGGCCCAGACUCCUACGGGAGGCAGCAGUGGGGAAUCUUGGACAAUGGGCGCAAGCCUGAUCCAGCCAUGCCGCGUGAGUGAUGAAGGCCCUAGGGUUGUAAAACUCUUUCGUGGGGGACGAUAAUGACGGUACCCCAAGAAGAAGCUCGGCUAACUUCGUG